CCUACGGGGGGCAGCAGUGAGGAAUAUUGGUCAAUGGACGCAAGUCUGAACCAGCCAUGCCGCGUGCAGGAUGAAGGCCCUAUGGGUUGUAAACUGCUUUUCUACGAGAAUAAACCCCCGCUCGUGAGCGGGGCUGAAGGUAUCGUAGGAAUAAGCACCGGCUAACUCCGUGCCAGCAGCCGCGGUAAUACGGAGGGUGCAAGCGUUAUCCGGAUUUAUUGGGUUUAAGGGGUCCGUACAAGGAAGUGGAGAAAGCCCACAGCUUAACUGUGGAACUGCCUUUGAUACUGCUGUUCUUGAGUAUAGUUGAAGUGGGCGGAAUGUGCGGUGUAGCGGUGAAAUGCAUAGAUAUCGCACAGAACACCUAUUGCGAAGGCAGCUCACUAAACUAUUACUGACGCUCAGGGACGAAAGCGUGGGGAGCAAACAGGAUUAGAUACCCUUGUAGUC
This 450-nucleotide ribosomal RNA is filed under the name uncultured bacterium. RNAcentral's name for it is "partial 16S ribosomal RNA". It matches the Rfam family "Bacterial small subunit ribosomal RNA", at positions 338 to 795 of the family's 1533-position model. The record is from RNAcentral.